UCUAGAAACUUUGGAUUUGUGCAUCAUUAAGGAUUUAAAACUAAACUAACACAUGGUCUCCCUCGUUUCUCUUUUCCCUCUUUCUCCCUCUUAUCAGCUGGUUUGCCUCAACCUGCCCUGAUUCAAGAUCCUUCUGUUCCACCAUGGCUUUCUGUUUUUGGGUCCUUAGAAUUACAAAAUCUGACAGCUUGAGGUUUACUUAAAUUACAUACAAAGAAUAAAGCUCCAUCUAAAUGAGAAAA
Notolabrus celidotus (New Zealand spotty) is the source of this 242-nucleotide long non-coding RNA. RefSeq lists it as uncharacterized. Lineage: Eukaryota; Metazoa; Chordata; Actinopteri; Labriformes; Labridae. The record is from RefSeq and is a predicted model, not a curated record. The transcript is spliced from 2 exons.